Molecule: transfer RNA, 55 nt
Filed under: Tityus serrulatus (Brazilian scorpion)
Lineage: Eukaryota; Metazoa; Arthropoda; Arachnida; Scorpiones; Buthidae
Description: tRNA-Tyr
Source: RNAcentral
GUUUGAGCAGCCUAAGUAGGCAUAAAAUUGUAAAUUUUAUUAAAUUAACCAAACA